GAAUGACCAGGAUUUCUAGGAAUAGUCUGGAGGUAUUUGGGUGUUUUUCCAAGAGAAAAGUUGUCCAGAAGGUUGGUGGGAAUUGUGUCAGUUGGGUUUAGGAAUGACCAGGAUUUCUAGGAAUAGUUUGAGGAGAUUUUGGUGCUUUUUCCAAGAGACAAGAUGUCCAGAAGGUGGGUGGGAAUUGUAUAAUUUGGGUUUAGGAAUGACCAGGAUUUCUAGGAACAGUUUGAUGGGAAUUGUAUCAUUUGGGUUUAGGAAUGACCAGGAUUUCUAGGAAUAGUUUGAUGGGAAUUGUAUCAUUUGGGUUUAGGAAUGACCAGGAUUU
Molecule: long non-coding RNA, 328 nt
Organism: Lepidothrix coronata (blue-crowned manakin)
Lineage: Eukaryota; Metazoa; Chordata; Aves; Passeriformes; Pipridae
Exons: 3
Source: RefSeq, a predicted model, not a curated record